UACGUAGGGGGCAAGCGUUGUCCGGAUUUAUUGGGCGUAAAGCGCAUGCAGGCGGUCUUGUCAGUUUCGAGUGACAGGUGGUGGCUUAACUGCCACAGGCCUCGGAAGACGGCAAGACUUGAGGACUUCAGAGGGACGCGGAAUUCCAGGUGGAGCGGUGAAAUGCGUAGAGAUCUGGAAGAACACCAAAGGCGAAGGCAGCGUCCUGGGAAGUAACUGACGCUCAUGUGCGAAAGCCAGGGGAGCGAACGGG
This 253-nucleotide ribosomal RNA is filed under the name uncultured bacterium. RNAcentral's name for it is "partial 16S ribosomal RNA". It matches the Rfam family "Bacterial small subunit ribosomal RNA", at positions 524 to 776 of the family's 1533-position model. The record is from RNAcentral.